This 491-nucleotide long non-coding RNA is filed under the name Homo sapiens (human). RNAcentral's name for it is "HSALNT0070270". Lineage: Eukaryota; Metazoa; Chordata; Mammalia; Primates; Hominidae. The record is from RNAcentral.
CUGGCUGCUCAUCAUCCCUCAGGUUUACUUAAAGGUGAUAAGAAAAAAGAAAACCUAAUGUGUAGUAAGUAAACAUAGCUGCUGCCAUUUACUUAACCUUUACUAUGUACCAAGUCCUUGACAUGAAUUUCUUAGUUUUCUCCUCACAACAACCUAAGAGGUAGUUUUUGUCAUUCUCAUUUUAUAGAAACUGGAGCUUAGAGUAAGGAACUUGGCCAGGCACAGCGGCUAACACCUGUAAUCCCAGCACUUUGGGAGGCCAAAGCGAGAGGAUUGCUUCAGCCCAGGAAUUCAAGACCAGCCUAGGCAACAUGGUGAGACUCUAUCUCUACAAAAAAAAUUUUUUUUAAUUAGUCAGGUGUGGUGGUGUGCACCUGUGGUCCCAGCUACUCAGAAGCCUGAGGCAGGAAGAUUAUCUGAGCCCACGAGGUCGAGGCUGCAGUAAGCCCUGUUCACAACACUGUACUCCAGCUGGGGCAACAGAGUGAGAC